This 608-nucleotide long non-coding RNA is filed under the name Homo sapiens (human). RNAcentral's name for it is "HSALNT0299438". The record is from RNAcentral. Lineage: Eukaryota; Metazoa; Chordata; Mammalia; Primates; Hominidae.
GUUUGCUGCACCCAUCAACCCGUCAUCUACAUCAGCAGGAGGAAGCAUUCCCAUGUGAAAGAUGAGCUCCCUAUAAAAGCAACGCUCUUAUCAUCGAGAACAGAAAGUUGAAGCCAAGAGAGAGCUCCACAAGCUGACCUUGUUAAACUAACCCUUAUCUUCUUAGUCGCUUCUUUACCCAAUUAACUACCCUAGCCGAAGCCCCUUUGCCUUAUUACAUUUUGCAACAGUGUUCGUUGUCCAAUUCAGUAUACAAGUGAGUGACUCUGGAUGCUUUUUGGGGUCUUCGUUUCCUUAUGAGGGCUUCUGUGCCAUGUAAAACUUGUAUUAAAUAAAUUUGUAUGCUUUUCUCCUGUUAAUCUGUCUAUAUCGAUUGAACUUUAGGGUCCAGUCAGAACCCAAAGAGGAUGGAGGUGGAGUUUUGGCUCCUCUACAGCUAUCUGAAUAAUCAAAAUUCAAGAUAUUCCAUGUUCUUUCUGAGUUUCUUUGAAAUUAAAAAUGCAGACAACCACUCAACUAAUACGUCAGCGAGAUACGUUUUCUGUCCUUAUUGCCUUACUGAUGAAAUUGCCUUUAUUCAUAAAAAAUAAAUGUGGGAGUCUUGUUUA